AGAAGAUCGGUAGAUUGAGUGGCUAGAGAGGUCGGAGGUAAGUGGCUGUAGAAGUCGGGCGGACCCGGAACCCAGAGGACGCGACACCAUGACUUAUGCUUAUCUCUUCAAGUAUAUCAUCAUCGGAGACACAGGUGUGGGGAAGUCAUGCCUCCUGCUCCAGUUUACAGAUAAGCGGUUCCAGCCUGUCCACGACCUCACAAUAGGUGUGGAGUUUGGAGCUCGUAUGGUCAACAUUGAUGGAAAACAAAUCAAACUGCAAAUCUGGGAUACGGUGAGAGUACAAAAUAAUUUAGUCUCUGACCAAUAUCCAAGUAUAACAAGAAAAGCUGAUGCAAAGGAAAGGGGCGAUGAGGGUGGGACUAAUGGUGGGGAUAAAGUAGGGGAAAGGUGAAAUCAAAGAAGCUUUUGAUUCUGUUACAGUUACAAAUUCUGGAUGCUAUAUCUUUGUGUUGUAAACGAUCCAAGUAAUAGUUUAUUCUAGUAAAAAUAAAAUCAAACAAUAUAAAUUUAUAGAGUAGAAAGUAAAUGUCCCCUUUUUAUACAUAAACUCUUUCUCCCUUCCCAUCUUGGUUGGUACUCUAGCAGGGAAAUCAUUACUGAUGAUUCCAUGUGUA
Molecule: small RNA, 617 nt
Filed under: Pan troglodytes (chimpanzee)
Lineage: Eukaryota; Metazoa; Chordata; Mammalia; Primates; Hominidae
Description: processed transcript
Source: RNAcentral